RNAcentral lists this ribosomal RNA (253 nucleotides) under uncultured bacterium. RNAcentral describes it as "partial 16S ribosomal RNA". It matches the Rfam family "Bacterial small subunit ribosomal RNA", at positions 524 to 776 of the family's 1533-position model. The record is from RNAcentral.
UACGGGGGGGGCAAGCGUUGUUCGGAAUUACUGGGCGUAAAGGGCUCGUAGGCGGCCAACUAAGUCAGAUGUGAAAUCCCCAGGCUCAACCUGGGAACUGCAUCUGAUACUGGCAGGCUUGAAUCCGGGAGAGGGAUGUGGAAUUUCAGGUGUAGCGGUGAAAUGCGUAGAUAUCUGGAGGAACACCGGUGGCGAAGGCGGCAUCCUGGACCGGUAUUGACGCUGAGGCGCGAAAGCCAGGGGAGCAAACGGG